GGCCUGCAUUCAUUAUAAGGACUUUGGAUUUUACUUCGAAUGAGAUGAAGCUUCUGGAAGGUUUGGGGGAAGAGUUCGGACGUGACUUAGCUUUUAUGGACCCGUUUCUAAGGGCCUGGCAGAGAACACAGUAGGUCAAGGACAGCGUCAGGGGCAGCGGAAAGGCUAUCAUUGUGCAGGGUGACUUCACGAGGCAGCACUUCCUUUUAAUAUCGAAGAGUUGACGGGAUCUAUUUAGAGCCGAGUUAUGCAGCACACUCAUCUUUUAGCGGCCGCUUGCUUUCCAACGCUCCGCUGACGUCACCGGCUCGCCUCGGCGCAACAGGAAUGCACACAAACAAACCCGACUGGACGCCCAGCAUCGCAAAGCCGCAAAUCGGAGCUUGAGGUGAAGCCUCCGAGGGUUGCUGGGAAUGACAGCUGAGUGAUGGAGCUCGGCUCUUAAAAGUAAUACAUUUGGAUGAAGAAUCACAAAGAAAGAUCGUGUCCCGCCUGCUAGGAUGGACACAGCUGAGCAAAGCAGGCAGGCACAAGACAGGAGCCGUGCUGACAGAACUGCGAGGAAGUGGAAACGUGGGGUUGGCGGAAGCAGACAGCGUGCAGAAGCUGUAGGACACGGUGUGGAGUUUCCCAAAACUUUAAAGUAGAAUUACCAUGUGAGCCGGCACCCCACGUCUGGAUCGUUACUCAACAUAACUGAAAACAGGAUUUUUAAGAGAUUUGCACCCAUCUCAGUGUUAAAAGAGCCAAGAGGUUGACACACCCUAAAUAAACAAAAUGUAGCAUA
Molecule: non-coding RNA, 787 nt
Organism: Peromyscus maniculatus bairdii (prairie deer mouse)
Lineage: Eukaryota; Metazoa; Chordata; Mammalia; Rodentia; Cricetidae
Source: RefSeq, a predicted model, not a curated record